This 494-nucleotide ribosomal RNA is filed under the name uncultured bacterium. Its description in RNAcentral is "partial 16S ribosomal RNA". It matches the Rfam family "Bacterial small subunit ribosomal RNA", at positions 28 to 507 of the family's 1533-position model. The record is from RNAcentral.
GACGAACGCUGGCGGCGUGCUUAACACAUGCAAGUCGAACGGAAAGGCCUGCUUUCCCUUGUGGAUUGCGGGUGCUCGAGUGGCGAACGGGUGAGUAACACGUGAGUGAUCUGCCCCCAACUUGGGUAUAAGCCUGGGAAACUGGGUCUAAUUCCCGAUAGGACUGCAGGGUGGUGCCUGUGGUGGAAAACGAUUUUCUAGUGGUUGGGGAUGAGCUCGCGGCCUAUCAGCUUGUUGGUGGGGUAAUGGCCUACCAAGGCGGCGACGGGUAGCCGGACUGAGAGGGUGGACGGUCACAUUGGGACUGAGAUACGGCCCAGACUCCUACGGGAGGCAGCAGUGGGGAAUAUUGCACAAUGGGCGGAAGCCUGAUGCAGCGACGCCGCGUGGGGGAUGACGGCAUUCGGGUUGUAAACUCCUUUCGACCGAGAGGAAGCCACCUGGUUGGAAGGGUGGUGACGGUAGUGGUAGAAGAAGCACCGGCUAACUACGUG